CCUAACCCACAAGAAACCUGGUCUGUACAUAACUGUAGAAGUUCGAAAUGAAUCAUGUUCUGUAGAUAAUGUCUCCGACUGCUGAUAUUGGUGCACUCAAUCUAUCAGCCAAAAACAAUAAAGCACUGGACUAAUUUCAGUUUUCAAAGAUCUCCAUUGUUUGCACCUAGGUUUACUUAUUAUAAUCAAUCAUAAAAGUAUCUUAAAAUACAGUUGAAAUAAUUGUAACAUGCUAAAAUGUAUUAAAAUGACCUGUCAUUAUACAAUAAGGCCCUGUGUCAAAUGACUUUUGCCUAAUUUAUAUAGAAUACAUAACAACAAAAGAACAAUCAGGUAUAACAGUCUUUUUUUAUUCUCCAUUCCAAGCCAUCAAUGAACAUUCCUUACUGUUUGCACCAUUAUAAAAGGCCAAAACUUUUCAUCCAUUAUUUUUUCAUAUAGUUAAGGAAAGGAUAUGUGAAAGUCUAAAUUAGAUCACUAUUGAAUGCUAUUCCGAUAAACCAUUUUUAAAAUUCAUCAGGCUCACACACAAAGACAAGACUACUCAUUCCAUUCAAAAUUUCCAAUGUCAAUGUCACGUUUUUUUUCUCUGUUGUCCAGUUUUUUUUCUCCUGGUUUUCCUAUACUCAUCCCUCAAAUUUUGCUGGCUUUCAUCUCACCACAAAUGCUGCAAACACAGGCUGCCCCUCUGCAAUGAUGUGUGGGGCACAAAGACUCAACACUGCAUCCAUGUCUCACAUCUCUUCCUACAUGUACCUCACUCCCCCUCUCUACACUUGAGUGGUUGUAUUUCCUUUUAGUUAUCUGUAUACUCCUUUGCCACAACGGACAUUUUUAUAUUUAUCUUCAGAAGCUUGUGUUGGAGGUUUUUUCGGAUCAUUAGGGACUUCACAUUUAUAUUAGCUUCAGACCAAGUCAACAGCCUGACUUAUUGCCUCACCGAUUGCCUCAGGAAUCUGGAUGUCGCCAGUCAGGUUCAAGUCCUUUUUUAAUUCACAGUCAAUUUGCACUUCAACGGCAUCCUCUGGCUUGUCAAUGCCGUUGACACAUUCCUUUUGCUGUGGCUCCGGGGCAGACACGGCAGCUAGCUUGGCUGCCUGCUCCUGACACUCCCCAUUGACCUCAGGGGCAGAAGGCUCAGCAGUAGCCUCCGCUGCGGAAACAUCUUCCCUGUUGUCCAGCACAGCAUCCUGUGGCCCAGCGCUGGCCUCCUCUGCAGCAGCAGGUGCAGCAGAUUCUGAAAUGAUGAUCUCCGGGAUGGGUUCUGCAAUGUCGGCAGCCUCUGACUCUGCUGCCUCUACUGCAUCAGCAGCUUCAGGUUCAAGCUCCGCUACGGAUUCUUCUACAGGUAGGGGGAGCUCUUUAGCGGCUGGUUCUAGGACGGAUUCUGUUUCUGCGGCUGCCUCUGGAUCUGCGGCUGCCUCUGACUCUGACACAGCUUCUGCAAUUGAUGUAGGCUCCUCCUCCAGUGUGGGUGAAGCUGCUUCUGCCUCUAUUGGUGCCUCGGGCACAGCCUCAGGUUCUGGGGCCUCCCCUGUAACAGUCUCUGUUUCAGGCUCUGGAGCAGCAUUUUCAGGUUCUGUAGUGUCUGCCACCUCUGUGACUUGUUCUGUAGCCUCAGAAUCCUUUUCUGGUGCUGCGGUUAGUUCCACAGAGGCUGCCGCAGGCUCUUCUGCUGCAUGCUCUUUUGGUGCUGACGCAGGCUCUUCUGGAGCAGGCUCUUCCACUGCAGGCUCUUUUGGUGCUGCCACAGGCUCUUUUGGUGCAGGUUCUUUUGGUGCUGCCGCAGGCUCUUCUGGUACAGGCUCUUCCACUGCAGGCUCUUUUGGUGUAGCCACUGUUUCGUCUAGUGCCGCUGGUUCUUCCGGUGCCUCUGUUUUAUCUGGUGCUGUUACAGGUUCCUCUGGUGAUGCUGCUGAUUCCUCAGCUGCUGCAGGUUCUUCUGGUGCUGCAGCUGGUGCUGGCUCCUCUGGUGCUGCAGCUGGUUCUUCUGAAGCUACUGGUUUUUCUGCUGUUGGCGCUGAUUCUGCCAUUGCUGCCACAGGUUCAUCUGGUACAGUUGCUGGCUCUGCGGUGGCCCCCUUGGCCACAGCAUCUAUAGCUGACAGGGCCUCUUCUGUCACAUCUUUGAUGGUUACCGCUGCCGACUCCACUGCUCCCUCUACCGCAGCAGACACCUUAGGAGCAUCCUUCGCUGCCAACUCAGCGACCGGAGCUGGUGCUUUGCUCUCCACGGCAUGGGCCAUGGCCUCAACGGCACUCACAGCAGCCACAGUAAUCUCCUCCUUCUUGUCCUUUGGGUCGCUGACAUCGUACCCCUUCUUCCUCUUGCUCAGCUUGCCUCCCAUGGUGUCUCCUAAAAGUGAAUAAUAAAAUCAGAAUGACUUAACAAGUGUGACAGGUUGUUGCGUUUGAUCAUCUAUGCAUAGUAUAUAUCCAUUUCCUUUAAUUACCCACCACAAACCUCAAUACCAAGUUAAAGCGGAAUAAAAUUCAAAGCAUUGCAAUCAUGCCAACAUAGUGCCGCCUGUCUCCGUUGUAAGAAAGCACUCAGUCGGGCUUUAAAGGGGGAAGGCAUUUCAAUCUGGAGACCACACUCUGCCAAAUACUAUUGGCUAAAAAACAAAUGACCACUGCAUGGGAACUACUCCAAGUUCUAAACUAUCCAGUGCUCUUGUAUAAACCACAGGACAAGACACCCUCUCUGGAGUCUUAGGUAAUGUUAUUAUGUGCCAAGUGAGCCUCCC
This 2747-nucleotide long non-coding RNA is filed under the name Salmo salar (Atlantic salmon). RNAcentral's name for it is "lncRNA (ENSSSAG00000113726.1)". The record is from RNAcentral. Lineage: Eukaryota; Metazoa; Chordata; Actinopteri; Salmoniformes; Salmonidae.